GACGAGGGAUCCUAGCGUUGUUCGGAAUCAUUGGGCGUAAAGCGGGUGUAGGUGGAUCUAUAAGUCAGGUGUGAAAUCCCAGGGCUCAACCCUGGAAGUGCACUUGAUACUGUAGAUCUUGAGUGUGGUAGAGGUUACUGGAAUUCCUGGUGUAGUGGUGAAAUACGUAGAUAUCAGGAGGAAUACCGGAGGCGAAGGCGGGUAACUGGGCCAACACUGACACUGAGACCCGAAAGCGUGGGGAUCAAAC
RNAcentral lists this ribosomal RNA (250 nucleotides) under uncultured bacterium. RNAcentral's name for it is "partial 16S ribosomal RNA". It matches the Rfam family "Bacterial small subunit ribosomal RNA", at positions 524 to 773 of the family's 1533-position model. The record is from RNAcentral.